This 294-nucleotide unclassified non-coding RNA is filed under the name uncultured fungus. Its description in RNAcentral is "partial contains 5.8S ribosomal RNA and internal transcribed spacer 2". The stretch from base 1 to 133 matches the Rfam family "5.8S ribosomal RNA", at positions 22 to 154 of the family's 154-position model. The record is from RNAcentral. Lineage: Eukaryota; Fungi.
UGGCUCUCGCAUCGAUGAAGAACGCAGCGAAAUGCGAUAAGUAAUGUGAAUUGCAGAAUUCAGUGAAUCAUCGAGUCUUUGAACGCACCUUGCGCCCUUUGGUAUUCCGAAGGGCAUGCCUGUCUGAGUGUCAUGAUAACCUCAACCCAAAGGUUUUUCUUUGGAGUUUGGAUUUGGGUUUGUCUGUACUAGACUCUCCUUAAAAGCAUUAGCAAACGGGUGUAAUAAGUUUCGCCUCGGCGCUUACAACUAUUCUCUAGAAUAGACCUCAGAUCAGGUAGGACUACCCGCUGA